This 490-nucleotide ribosomal RNA is filed under the name uncultured bacterium. Its description in RNAcentral is "partial 16S ribosomal RNA". It matches the Rfam family "Bacterial small subunit ribosomal RNA", at positions 29 to 507 of the family's 1533-position model. The record is from RNAcentral.
AGUGAACGCUGGCGGUAGGCCUAACACAUGCAAGUCGAACGGCAGCACAGGAGAGCUUGCUCUCUGGGUGGCGAGUGGCGGACGGGUGAGGAAUACAUCGGAAUCUGCCCAGUCGUGGGGGAUAACGUAGGGAAACUUACGCUAAUACCGCAUACGACCUUCGGGUGAAAGAGGGGGAUCGCAAGACCUCUCGCGAUUGGAUGAGCCGAUGUCGGAUUAGCUAGUUGGCGGGGUAAUGGCCCACCAAGGCGGCGAUCCGUAGCUGGUCUGAGAGGAUGAUCAGCCACACUGGAACUGAGACACGGCCCAGACUCCUACGGGAGGCAGCAGUGGGGAAUAUUGGACAAUGGGCGCAAGCCUGAUCCAGCCAUACCGCGUGGGUGAAGAAGGCCUUCGGGUUGUAAAGCCCUUUUGUUGGGAAAGAAAUCUUUCAGGCUAAUACCCUGGGAGGAUGACGGUACCCAAAGAAUAAGCACCGGCUAACUUCGUG